This 428-nucleotide ribosomal RNA is filed under the name Atractium aquatica. RNAcentral describes it as "eukaryotic LSU rRNA". The stretch from base 74 to 227 matches the Rfam family "5.8S ribosomal RNA". Lineage: Eukaryota; Fungi; Ascomycota; Sordariomycetes; Hypocreales; Nectriaceae. The record is from RNAcentral.
CCCGCCACAAAGGGGGGACAACCCUCCGUAUUUUUAUGUGGCAUCUUCUGAGUGACAAGCAAAAAUAAGUCAAAACUUUCAACAACGGAUCUCUUGGUUCUGGCAUCGAUGAAGAACGCAGCGAAAUGCGAUAAGUAAUGUGAAUUGCAGAAUUCAGUGAAUCAUCGAAUCUUUGAACGCACAUUGCGCCCGCCAGUAUUCUGGCGGGCAUGCCUGUUCGAGCGUCAUUUCAACCCUCAAGCCCCCCCGCGGCUUGGUGUUGGGGAUCGGCCCGCCCCUGGCGGCGCGCCGGCCCCGAAAUACAGUGGCGGUCUCGCCGUAGCUUACCUAUGCGUAGUAGCACACCUCGCACCGGGACGCGGCGGGGCCACGCCGUAAAAGGACCCCCCACUUUGAAAGGUGACCUCGGAUCAGGUAGGAAUCCAGUC